Molecule: long non-coding RNA, 4131 nt
Organism: Oryzias melastigma (Indian medaka)
Lineage: Eukaryota; Metazoa; Chordata; Actinopteri; Beloniformes; Adrianichthyidae
Exons: 3
Source: RefSeq, a predicted model, not a curated record
UGUAUUUUUUCCCUUAACACAUUUUUUUAAAAUGCUAAAAUUAUGAGAUUAAAUUACACAAAAAUGUAAGUUUUAUCCAUCACUACAAUUAAUCUUUUUGUAAGCAAAUAAAGAGUUUUUGAAUAAAGCGAUGGGUUGCAAUUAUUCCGGGGUCGUCCCGAUCCCUGAUGCGGCAGGUAGAGAAUUAAACCGAAGUUUAUCCUGUACUACUGGAAUAAAGCAGAUUUUGCGCAAGCAAUCAAAAAAUAAACUUCCCUUUUCUUAACUUUUUAAUUUUAUUUUAUGAUUAUUUUGCUGUUUUUUUAAACCAUCUGCUCACUUUUCAUUUUCAUCCAUUCUGUCCAGAUUUGUAAAACUUGUUCCGAGAUAUCAAAAGACAACAAAACUUAUCCGCGUACUCUUUCAAGGUUGUCUAAUUGGCAAGAUUCUUUUAUUUCCAGUCUUUUUAUUUUUUCAAGAGACAAUGAUUAGAAUGGGGAGCUCUCAUAGUAAUCAAACAAAAUGCAAUGAUAAAUAGGAAUUGCAGCAUUUGAUCUUACGCUGUGAUUCAAAUCAGAUGUUUCUCUAAAAGGGAAGUGAGAAACUUCCCAGAGUUUGUGAAAUGAAAGGCCACCAUCUGUUUUUGAAUGUUUGUCUGUUCUGAGGACAUUGAACUGUCAGCAGUGUCCCUCCUACUAAUCAGGACUUCUAGAUGUCUACACAACACAAACCAUGAGUUCUUUACCCAUCUUUUGUAUUGUAUUUACUUUAGUAGGUCAACUACUGUCAAAGUACGAACAAUAAAUAUUUUCUUUUUGAUUGAAACUGAGAUGGUGUCAGUUGUUUUAUUUAAGCUCCUGGCUGUAAUCUUUCUUAAGAAAAGGAAUAAAGAAAAUUUGAUCAUAGCAUUGAUGCAAAAUAUUGAUUUUAAUAAAUAAAAUUAUAUUUCAAUUUCUAAUAGGUUUUAAGGCGUUUCUGUCUUUCUUGUUUUUUCUCAAUUUAAAAUCCUUUUAUUUUGAAACACUCAAAAUCGACUGAACUCUAAAUUCCAGUAAAAAAAAAAAAAAAAAAAGAAAAACAAGCUGUGAUCAGUGAGAAACUUUAGUGGGGCAAAAGAAAAAAAAAUCUAUAAUUCUCAAAGAAAAUCUUUCAGGACUCCCUAAAGUUUAAAAAAAAUCUACAAAAUUUGUGUCACGCUAUUAAGACUUUCCACUGAAAAGGCUCAAACAGACUUACAUAUGAAGCUGUCACAUUUCACUCAUCUCAAAACUCACAAUCCUCGCUGGAUAAUAUUUAUGUAGUCACUUUUUUAAAACUAAAAUCAUCUCAACUGUGUGCCACUUUUUUUUUCUUUUCACCUACAUUGUGCAAAUCGAGAACGAAACUAAAACACGUGAGCACUAAGACGAGGACUUUAAAUGUUCGUCCGCACGUAAAAGCAGCGCAAAAAUGAACAUUUCAAUACAAAUUAGUUAGAAUUAACCAAAAAAGCAAAAAACGAAACAAUUUGAUACGAUGUACCUUCAUUUCACAAAAAAUCAUGUUAUCCAGUCGCUACUGCAGCUUCUUCCUCCUCUGCUAGCUUAGCAACAGCAGCCAUUUUGUCUGCAUAUACAUUGGCUGAGACGUCUUUUUUAGGUCAUGCAACAUUUCUUUGAGAUUUUCCCUAGAAAAAGGUGCCACCGGUUUCAUUUGAAUCCACUUUAGCAACAAUGAGAGCUCUUAAUUUGAGCCUUUAACUAAGAUAUCAAGUGGGAGAUGUGGAUUAUAUCAGGCACGCGUCGAGCAUGUCCUGAGAGGUGAUGCUUUCAUUUUCUGCUCACAAGGUGCCAAAUGGUGUUUGGAGUUAACCGCAUGACUGUCACACAAAGGCACAUACAUACUGCACAUUAGUUCACAUUCACAUCAAGCAUGAUGGACACACACGUGCGCAGAGAUAUAUAGAAAUCAGAUGAGUUGAUCCCUUUCUUAGAGCAUGCGUCAGCCACCCGCUGAUCCCAGCGACACGUUACGUAGACGACCAGCAGCAGGAUGCAUGAGCCCAGCUGUCCAGAGGUCACCUUGGCUUGUUUACUUCUCUAGAAUGAAUUCAGAGGGGCAGGGUGGACCACUGCCACCCACAACAGCUACCUCAACUUGAACUUCAGUCGAGCUUGAGGGAAUCUGCGUUCUUUCCGGUGAGGGUGGGGUGUGCCAAAAUCCCCUUUUGCCUAGGGUGCCAUGCAGCCCAGAACCGGGCCUGACUCAGAGACAGGUUGGGACCCUGGAGGUGUGGAAUGGCAUGCAGGGAGUCAGGAUGCGGUGCUGGAAAGCGGAUCGAUCCCUCAGCUGCAGGUGGCCGAGCUGAAGAAGCAUCUGAAACUCGUUCUGGCUACCAAACAAACUUCCUUGUUCUUAAACAAAGCAGUUUAUCUGCAUACUCCACCGUGGUUUAAAGUUUGAUGUUUACACAAAUAACUGUAGCAAACAGGAAAGACAUGAAGAUGUUUUAAAAAUGGAAUAAUCUUUGCCCAAGUCAUUUCAGCAAGCACUUUGCAUUUCUUUAUAAUUUGGGUAAAUGAUGCUCUUUACUUAGCAUGUGAUUCAUAGAGAAUAGCAACGCUCUGUUCUCUGUGCAUAAUUAAAAACUUGGAAAAUGCCCCCUUUUCAUGUAAAAAAAUGCAAUGACAUUGUCUUUAGAGAUUUUGCUUCUCGUUUUACAGGCCAAAGUACAACACCGGCAUAAAAACCAAACACUGAGGUUGAUCAUACCCAUUCAAGUAACAAAGCAUUUAAAGCGAUUUCUUUCCAUGUAUCCACAAAUGAGUGAAUCAUCAAGUCAUCCAGUGAGAGCUCCAACUCCCCUGCAACUGCUUAUUCAUAAAGAAAUAGGUUAAGCCUUGAUGUUUAAAUCGCAAGCAGAGUGUAAAUCUCAUAAAAUCCUUUCAUGCCUUUUAAGACAAAAGAGGCUUGUUUGGGAACAUGUAUUUGAGAUCAUAGAGAUCAUAGUUUGGAAUAGCAGAUGAUACAUUUGAAUCCCUGUAAGACACAAUGGUUAGAUGGGUGCUGAGCCGAGAGCUGAGAGCGCAGGAGAAAGGAGGAGCUAGACGGGAAGAGUGAGUAUUUUACUUCAAAGUUUGUCUACCCUGAGAGACCUGGCAGCUCUGCAGACGUACAUGUUAGCUCAAAAUGAAAGAGUGAUUUGGUGCCUGAGUCCCUGGGGAGGGAAACUGUCUGGACACCGUGCAAACUCGAUAGCGGAUCAAUUUCACUGCAGUUUCAGUCCAAACCGACGGGGCUCCCUCCUCUUGUUAUCCAAAGAACAAACAACAUGAAAUAAAAUUUCAUUUGAUGUUUCUCUGCAGGCAAAGGAUAGAAGGUAGCCUUAGGCGGAAGAGGAUUCGUAAGAGAAGAGAACUAAAGUGCAUCACUUGUGCCUAAUGGCUGACUGUGUUUACAGGUGCUAAAAGACACAAAUGGGUUUGUCGUAUUGUCAUUUCCGAGUAUGUUUCUGCAGUUUUGGCUGCAGCUCCUUAUUAUUGUUGGAAGACCGUGAGGUCAAGACCUCAAACGUGCUCUUUUUUUUGCCCCAUCAAACUGUCACAUGAGAAAAUGAUCAUACGUGCUGCAGUAAAGAACUGAUACAUAAGCAGAGAUGAAUCCAGCGUGUUACAGCUGAGGCUGGCAAUCUAGUGCACAACUGUUUAUAGGAAAAGGAGGAAGAGAAAAUUGGAUCCUGCUUGAAACUCGGGCUGCUCACUACAUACUUGAUGAAAGCUAUUUCCUCAGAAAUUUAUAUUAAUGCCCCAAAAGAUUUUUUUGAAGAUGAGGAGAAGAUAUGUUGCAGUGGCUUGAAAUUAUUCCCAGACUGCAACUGCCUCCUGCAAGAUAAGAGUUCUUUUCAUUUUUACUCCUUCUUAGGAUGGAUUUUUGUAACAUAUGAAGGCAUUAAAAAAAGGAAAUGGUGUCUUUGAUUACAUAAAAUCAGUGAAAUGUCAAGGACUUGUCUUCAUCUCUAGAAAGGCCUUUCUAAAAACUCUUCCUGCUGAAUAAGCUCCCAUGAAUAGGCCAUAGCAUUCACCCACUAUCCAAACAAGGUGUACAAGUACCGCAUUGUCUCAAAAGACCCUUUGACAUGCAUACACACAAAAAAAAACAACAAAAAAAAAAAAA